RNAcentral lists this long non-coding RNA (867 nucleotides) under Bos taurus (domestic cattle). RNAcentral's name for it is "long non-coding RNA NONBTAT022563". The record is from RNAcentral. Lineage: Eukaryota; Metazoa; Chordata; Mammalia; Artiodactyla; Bovidae.
CUAGAGUUCUUCGUCUUUAGCGCAAAAUCAAUAACCCAGUCUUGAUUAAUGCUAAAUUGUUAUUUAACCCAAUCAUUAACAUUUAUCAUUGUAAUUUUCAAAAUCUUUUCUGCUUCUCUGCCACUUUUUCAGUGAAACUCUGAUUAAUCAUUGCAACAUGUUCUUAAAUCUUAGUAAAAUAUGUAUUACAUUUUUUUUUCUUUGAAGUUUUCUUCGGAAUUUUAUCUGAGGUCAGUUGUUCUUUCAUUCCUCUUAAUCGUCUUCCAUCUUGAUUCUCCUCAAUUGUUUAUUUAUACUGGCUUAUAAAAGAUUACUUUUGGCUUUCUCUGAUGUUGUUCGGACUUGUUUUUGCAAAUGGUGUCUCACUUAAAUGGGAGUGUGAUACCAUUUAAGUAGUCAGGGCAUACAGAUAAGCAGGCACCCCAGAAAGGUACCUAAACAAGAAGUCAAGCCUGCCGGGAUCCACCAAAAGUGUUUUUCUCUGAAGAAGCAAGCUUCAGUGCCUCUGCUACUCUCUCAGAUUCCAAGAUCUCAGAUGUCCUACUGAACUGUUAGUCUACUUUCUUAAAAGAGAACAGUUCUUAGACUUCAGGCCUGAGGGCAGGCACCACUGCCACCAGAGCUGUUUAGACUGGAGGAAGGGGAGGAUGGAGGUCCAACUAACCCAGCACUCUGGCAAGUAACUCUUUAAAAAAUUCCUGAUUAUUACUCAAUUACUACUGUUCUCUGUCCUUGUUGACUCCAAACCUGGAGCCUUUCCAAGGUUCCCCUAGGAAAACCUGAGCUUACCUCUGGUAUCUUGAGUUCCAGUUUCCUUUGAGAUUUUGCUGUCAAUGCGAUCCCGUGAGCUUUCUAUCUUCUUCAAAA